RNAcentral lists this ribosomal RNA (351 nucleotides) under Bacillus subtilis. RNAcentral's name for it is "bacterial SSU rRNA". It matches the Rfam family "Bacterial small subunit ribosomal RNA", at positions 56 to 398 of the family's 1533-position model. The record is from RNAcentral. Lineage: Bacteria; Bacillati; Bacillota; Bacilli; Caryophanales; Bacillaceae.
UGCAGUCGAGCGGACAGAUGGGAGCUUGCUCCCUGAAGUUAGCGGCGGACGGGUGAGUAACACGUGGGUAACCUGCCUGUAAGACUGGGAUAACUCCGGGAAACCGGGGCUAAUACCGGAUGGUUGUUUGAACCGCAUGGUUCAAACAUAAAAGGUGGCUUCGGCUACCACUUACAGAUGGACCCGCGGCGCAUUAGCUAGUUGGUGAGGUAACGGCUCACCAAGGCAACGAUGCGUAGCCGACCUGAGAGGGUGAUCGGCCACACUGGGACUGAGACACGGCCCAGACUCCUACGGGAGGCAGCAGUAGGGAAUCUUCCGCAAUGGACGAAAGUCUGACGGAGCAACGCC